Molecule: ribosomal RNA, 655 nt
Filed under: uncultured fungus
Lineage: Eukaryota; Fungi
Description: eukaryotic LSU rRNA
Rfam family: 5.8S ribosomal RNA (bases 192-345)
Source: RNAcentral
UCCGUAGGUGAACCUGCGGAAGGAUCAUUCAUAAUAAGUGUUUUAUGGCACUUUUAAAAAUCCAUAUCCACCUUGUGUGAAAUGUCUGUCGCUUUUCUCUUUUUCCUCGGAAAGAAAACGAAGCGGCUCAACAUCAACUCAUUUUAAUUACUUUGUCUGAAAACUAUUAUGAAUAAACUAAUUCAAAAUACAACUUUCAACAACGGAUCUCUUGGCUCUCGCAUCGAUGAAGAACGCAGCGAAAUGCGAUACGUAAUGUGAAUUGCAGAAUUCAGUGAAUCAUCGAAUCUUUGAACGCAUAUUGCGCUCUUUGGUAUUCCGAAGAGCAUGCUUGUUUGAGUAUCAGUAAACACCUCAACACUCUCGAUUUGUUUCGAAUGAGUAUUGGAUUUGAGCAAACCCAACGCCUUUCUGCUAGCCAGACUUGCGGCGGGUUGCUUGAAAUGCAGGUGCAGCUGAGUUUUCUUCUGAGCUAAUAGCAUACUUAAUUAGUCCCGUAAAAAGGAUUAUUAAUCUGCUGAAGCUUACACCAAAGGAAGAGUUCUCUGGCUGACUGAUGCAGAAUUACGCAUAGCCGGUAAAACGGCUUUGUAAAACUCGAUCUCAAAUCAAGUAAGACUACCCGCUGAACUUAAGCUCAUCAAUAAGCGGAGGA